AUAUUUUGCCCAAUGAUUAUUUAAAUGGCUGCAGUAUUUUGACUGUACAAAGGUAGCAUAGUAAUUAGUCUUUUAAUUGAGGACUGGAAUGAAAGAAUGAAUGAGGUAUAUAUUUUAUUUAUUUAAUUUUUAAAAAUUUAUUUUUUAGUGAAAAAUCUGAAAUGUUUUUUUGGGACGAAAAGACCCUAUAGAACUUUAUUCUAGAUUUAAUUAAAUUAUUUUUUAUUUUAUUUAAAUUUCUAAAUUUUGUUGGGGUGAUAGUUAAAUUAAUCUUUAGUUUUUUUGUUCAUUAAUUUAUGUUUUUAAAUAUUUUUAAUUUUAAAGUUAAAGUUACCUUAGGGAUAACAGCGUAAUUUAUAUGGGGAGUUCAUAUCUAUAUUUAAGUUUGCGACCUCGAUGUUGAAUUAAGAUAAGGUUUAGGGGUAGGUUUUUUUUUUCUAAGUC
RNAcentral lists this ribosomal RNA (444 nucleotides) under Dikraneura sp. HO 0AQ56. RNAcentral describes it as "partial large subunit ribosomal RNA". Lineage: Eukaryota; Metazoa; Arthropoda; Insecta; Hemiptera; Cicadellidae. The record is from RNAcentral.